Molecule: long non-coding RNA, 1283 nt
Organism: Sapajus apella (tufted capuchin)
Lineage: Eukaryota; Metazoa; Chordata; Mammalia; Primates; Cebidae
Exons: 3
Source: RefSeq, a predicted model, not a curated record
GAUUUUGCUUUGGCAUCGAUCUUCUUCAUGCGUUUUAAAAUUUGACUCUGCACAGUCAUCUUGAGGGGGAGUUUCUCUUUCUCUUCUUGCCCCUGUAAUUAUUGGUUUUGCAGUUGCUCCCCUUAGUCCUCUGAGGUCUCUAGUAUAAAACCAGGUCUUAAAUCAGCUUUUGGAUUUUUUUUCAUUGCUAUCUAAAAUCUCGGUUUUGUCUUUUACAAUAUGCUGCUAUCUGGUUGGACUGCUAUAACAAAAUUCCAGAGACUGGGUGGCUUAAACCACAGACAAUUAUUUCUUAUAGUUCUAGAGGCUGGAAUGUCCAAGAUCUAGGUGCUGGCAGAUUUGGUGACUGAUGAGGGCUCUCUUCCUGGCUGUAGAGAGCCUCCUUCUCACUGCGUGCUCACGUGGUCCUUCCUCCGAGCAACCACGUUCAGGAAAAAGGAAGAGGGAGGUAACCUGAUGAAUCUUCCUGGUGUGAAGCUUGUCUAUACUGUGAAUUGUGUCCUUAGGAAAGACUCCAGAAAGGACUGGCAAGGGAACUUCUGGCAGGGCCCACAGAUGCAGGAAGCAAAGUGUUCAAGAGAGCAGGAAAGCUUCUGGCUCAUGGCGUCAAGUUCCUGAACCAGAGAUGAGGUUUCACACCACGCCCUGGAACGGCCCCGGUUAAAAACUCGUGAACAUUUUGUUGAGGUUCCUGCUUUACAGAUUGUUAAACUGUUUUCUUGUAAAACUUCAUAAUCUUUGCAAGCUAAGCCAUUGUCCAGAGGAGACGGCUGAAGCUUGAACUGACCAGAGUGGUGCUUCUGGAAAGGUUCUGUGGGUAUGAAUCACAGGGCAUCCUAUUAAAACGGAUUCUGAUUCAGCUGAUCUGGGGUGAGGUCCAAAUUGCAUUUCCAACAGGCCCCCAGGUGAUGUGGACACCACUGGCCUGAGGACCUCACCAGAGUGGAGAAGUGUGAGGGGACUUAGGCGAGCCACAUGCAUCAUCAGUGACUGAGCCGGACCAUGUCUAGCUGACUCCAAAGCCUGUGGCCUCUCUCUGCGGUUCCCAUGUAGAAUCCUGCAGCCCCACCUCUCACUUUGCAGGUGAGGGAGGGGAGACAGAGAGGCUUCCGCUGGAGGGGGAAGGUGGCUUUGUUCAGGGAGGGGGCUGCCUUUCCCAGGCCCGUCCUCCACCUUGAGGAAGAGAGGGAUGGAGUGGAUGGUCUCUUGAGUGGGGAAGUGCCACAGCUGGGCAGCCAUCAGUGUUAGAAAAAUUAAUAUUUUAAUUAAAAACAUCCUUUUUC